RNAcentral lists this ribosomal RNA (235 nucleotides) under uncultured Candidatus Saccharibacteria bacterium. RNAcentral describes it as "partial 16S ribosomal RNA". It matches the Rfam family "Bacterial small subunit ribosomal RNA", at positions 583 to 818 of the family's 1533-position model. Lineage: Bacteria; Candidatus Saccharimonadota. The record is from RNAcentral.
UAGAGCGAAUAGUGAAUCUGGGGCUCAACCUCACAGGCUAUUAUUCGAACUCACUGACUCGAGAACAGCAGAGGUAACUGGAAUUUCUGAAGUAGGGGUAAUAUCCGUAGAUAUCAGAAGGAACACCAAUGGCGUAGGCAGGUUACUGGGCUGUUUCUGACACUGAGGCACGAAAGCGUGGGGAGCGAACCGGAUUAGAUACCCGGGUAGUCCACGCCGUAAACGAUGGAUACUA